Molecule: transfer-messenger RNA, 371 nt
Filed under: Microbacteriaceae
Lineage: Bacteria; Bacillati; Actinomycetota; Actinomycetes; Micrococcales
Also listed under: 1 other name
Description: Microbacterium sp001792815 Standard tmRNA
Rfam family: transfer-messenger RNA
About the family: Bacterial tmRNA, also known as 10Sa RNA or SsrA, is named for its dual tRNA and mRNA-like properties. Its role is to liberate the mRNA from a stalled ribosome.
Source: RNAcentral
GGGGCUGAUCGGUUUCGACAGCGUCUGCGAACCCGCGAGAAAGCGGGCCGAGGAUGUGGGGUUAUCUCGUAAACGCUCCCUGCAAAACAAUAAGUGCCGAUGCUAAGCGCACUGACUUCGCCCUCGCUGCGUAAGCGAGCCCGAUAGUCCGUCAGACCGUGUGCGACCCCGCCACGGAUCCUGGCGUCAUUUAGGGGUCUUGCCGUGUGAUGGCGUCUGGACGUCGCACGGGACUUUUCCCAGGCUGGGCUUGUCGACUUAGGUGUCUGUGACAAAGGUCGGAGCCGAGUAGAACGUCUGCACAGACUGCGCCCGGAGAAAACGCGGAGACCCAGCGUUGGACGGGGGUUCGAUUCCCCCCAGCUCCACGA